AGUGAACGCUGGCGGUAGGCCUAACACAUGCAAGUCGAACGGCAGCACAGUAAGAGCUUGCUCUUACGGGUGGCGAGUGGCGGACGGGUGAGGAAUACAUCGGAAUCUACUUUUUCGUGGGGGAUAACGUAGGGAAACUUACGCUAAUACCGCAUACGACCUACGUGUGAAAGCAGGGGAGCUUCGGACCUUGCGCGAUUGAAUGAGCCGAUGUCUGAUUAGUUAUUUGGCGAGGUAAAAACCCACCAAGUGGACUAUCCGUAGUUUGUUUGAGAGGAUGGUCAGCAACAUUGUACUAGAGACACGGUCCAGGCUCCUACGGGAGGCAUCAGUGGGUAACAUGGGACAAUGGGCGCAAGUCUGAUCAAGUCAUACCGCGUCUGUGAAGAAGGCAUUGGGGUUGGAAAGCCCUCUUGUUGGUAAAGAAAAGCAGCAGCUUAAUUCACCGCUGUUCUGACGGUACCCUAAGAAUAAGCACCGGCUAACUUCGUG
This 492-nucleotide ribosomal RNA is filed under the name uncultured bacterium. Its description in RNAcentral is "partial 16S ribosomal RNA". It matches the Rfam family "Bacterial small subunit ribosomal RNA", at positions 29 to 507 of the family's 1533-position model. The record is from RNAcentral.